UACGGAGGGUGCAAGCGUUGUCCGGAUUUAUUGGGUUUAAAGGGUGCGUAGGCGGCUCUUUAAGUCAGUGGUGAAAUACUGCAGCUUAACUGUAGGAUUGCCAUUGAUACUGAAGAGCUUGAGUACAGAUGAGGUAGGCGGAAUUUAUGGUGUAGCGGUGAAAUGCAUAGAUACCAUAAAGAACACCUAUUGCGAAGGCAGCUUACUAAGCUGUAACUGACGCUGAGGCACGAAAGCGUGGGGAGCGAACAGG
Molecule: ribosomal RNA, 253 nt
Filed under: uncultured prokaryote
Description: partial 16S ribosomal RNA
Rfam family: Bacterial small subunit ribosomal RNA
Source: RNAcentral